Molecule: ribosomal RNA, 253 nt
Filed under: uncultured bacterium
Lineage: Bacteria
Description: partial 16S ribosomal RNA
Rfam family: Bacterial small subunit ribosomal RNA
Source: RNAcentral
UACGUAGGGUGCAAGCGUUGUCCGGAAUUAUUGGGCGUAAAGAGCUCGUAGGCGGUUUGUCGCGUCGAAUGUGAAAACCCGGGGCUCAACCCCGGGCCUGCAUUCGAUACGGGCAGACUAGAGUUCGGUAGGGGAGUCUGGAAUUCCUGGUGUAGCGGUGAAAUGCGCAGAUAUCAGGAGGAACACCGGUGGCGAAGGCGGCCUUCUGGACAGUGACUGACGCUGAGACGCGAAAGCGUGGGGAGCAAACAGG